This 854-nucleotide ribosomal RNA is filed under the name uncultured bacterium. RNAcentral's name for it is "bacterial SSU rRNA". It matches the Rfam family "Bacterial small subunit ribosomal RNA", at positions 673 to 1525 of the family's 1533-position model. The record is from RNAcentral.
GUGUAGCGGUGGAAUGCGUAGAUAUAUGGAAGAACACCAGUGGCGAAGGCGGCUUACUGGACUGUAACUGACGUUGAGGCUCGAAAGUGUGGGUAGCAAACAGGAUUAGAUACCCUGGUAGUCCACACCGUAAACGAUGAACACUAGGUGUUAGGAGGUUUCCGCCUCUUAGUGCCGAAGCUAACGCAUUAAGUGUUCCGCCUGGGGAGUACGACCGCAAGGUUGAAACUCAAAGGAAUUGACGGGGACCCGCACAAGCGGUGGAGCAUGUGGUUUAAUUCGAAGCAACGCGAAGAACCUUACCAGGUCUUGACAUCCUUUGAAGCUUUUAGAGAUAGAAGUGUUCUCUUCGGAGACAAAGUGACAGGUGGUGCAUGGUCGUCGUCAGCUCGUGUCGUGAGAUGUUGGGUUAAGUCCCGCAACGAGCGCAACCCUUAUUGUUAGUUGCCAGCAUUCAGAUGGGCACUCUAGCGAGACUGCCGGUGACAAACCGGAGGAAGGCGGGGACGACGUCAGAUCAUCAUGCCCCUUAUGACCUGGGCUACACACGUGCUACAAUGGCGUAUACAACGAGUUGCCAACCCGCGAGGGUGAGCUAAUCUCUUAAAGUACGUCUCAGUUCGGAUUGUAGUCUGCAACUCGACUACAUGAAGUCGGAAUCGCUAUUAAUCGCGGAUCAGCACGCCGCGGUGAAUACGUUCCCGGGUCUUGUACACACCGCCCGUCACACCAUGGGAGUUUGUAAUGCCCAAAGCCGGUGGCCUAACCUUUUAGGAAGGAGCCGUCUAAGGCAGGACAGAUGACUGGGGUGAAGUCGUAACAAGGUAGCCGUAGGAGAACCUGCGGCUGGAUCA